AGAACGUAAUCGAACGUAAGAUCGCCGCCGCUUCGAACACCAUCCACGACCUGUUUCACGGUCAGUUUUGAGCGUAUCGAUUCCACGAAGGCCUUCCAGGCGUUUUUCCUCUCUUCUGAUUCCUUUCGUCUGUAAAUGACAGACCUUCGUGCCAAGUCGUCCUUAAUAGCGGCGGAACCGGCGCUGCCCAAUCCGCUGUACGUGCACUGUGUCGGAAUCACGCUGAGAAAUGUUCAAAAACAAAUGAGGACGUUUUGGGAUAAUGUCUCGCGCAGAAUUCUGCAUCGUUGAGAUAAGUCACCUUACUAUGGAGUUCAUCUUUACUCCGAUUCCCAUUUCCGUCAGGCAAUGCAAGCAAUUCUCGCAUGGUUCUCCCGCAGGUACCGGAAAUAUCACCUUCCCAACGAAAAAAAUCAAAGAUUAACGUCGAAUAGGAACGAUGCACACGGUAUUGGCUUCUCACCUCGUAGUACAUGUUUCCAUUGUCCUUGCACCACACCACAUGUUCCACUUUGAGCUUCUUCAACAGUUCGUGUAACACCUUUGCAAAUUGAUAACGGAAAAGAAACGAAACAAAAGUUGCAAGUCACAUAUCUGUACCUCGGAGGAAUCAUCAUCGUCGAGUUUCAACAGUUGUGUUCUCGUUCUUGUCUCCCUGAUACGUAGGUCCACCCUUGGUGCAGACGCUAGGUUUCCAUCCUUCUCGUUUCUGGGCUUCUUCAAGGGAACGCCGAAAAUGAGCUCGUGCUCGAAGCUCGAUGUGGGUGUAGAUCAAUCUCGAGCGGAUUGUCGAAGCAUCGAUUUCAUUAGCAUCUCGCUAAUUGCUUUGUUGCUUUGCUCUUAAUUAGCGUGACGUCGAUGAUGAAUCAGUCGAGGCUCGUUUAUCUUCUACGAUUGUUCUACGGCCAUACUUAAGGAGAGGAGCGCUUGGACAAUUUCCGUAUGUCUGUCGCCUCUAAGGACUUGGACGAUCCCAGGCAAGAUGCCAGUUUAUUGUACAGGAUCCAUUCGUAUAAAUGCAUUUCACACUUCAGGGAUGAAUUCAUCAUAUAAAAAUAAUGGAAAAUGUUUAGUAAAUACGGGAUCACUUUUGCUCUGCUUCCAAGUUGUAACUAUUAAUCAGAAGAAAAUGCUACUCCGAAGCAUUUUUAGCUUUCUAAAGAAUAUGUAACAUUCGGAAUGUACAUUGCCUUUGUCUAAGUUAUUAACCUGUAACGAAAGCUUACUAAGUUUUUACGUUGAAUCCACGUCUCAAGUGAAUUUCAUUUCCACGAAUGCGCCAUAUACAUAAAUGCAUGCGAUGAACGAAGCAUUUUGCUGUAUUAUUAUCUCUAUUUUCUUUUCAGAGAUCUUUCUGGUGAGUCGUCGAAACGUGACCAUUCACGAGUACGCUUGUUGCAUGGAAUUACUGGUUCUCUGCAGGAAUUUUCGCAGAUUUCUAAUUCGUCAAAAUUCAAACAUUCUUUUUCUUCGAUUGGAGCCUGAAUACAAAUUUAUCGUUUGGUGUAAAUAUUGAAAAGUUUGCAAGAGUCCCUGCAGAAACUUAAUAAUGUGACAUCAAGAUGGGUUGUCUGAAAGGGAACAUCAAAAUCACUGUGGUUGAGGAUGCAAGAGUCUUGUCAUCGACAGGUUGCAUAGUUUGAUAUAUCAGGUAUGCCAAAAGAUUAUAAGUUUUUCUCAAUUAUAAAACAAUGCAUGUAAUGUCUGAUAAACACAAUACUGUUUCUAUCUAUCAACAAAUAUUUUCUAGAGAAGUGGUUACCCAAACUAUACAAUUGACAUGAUUUUAGCUCCCUCGAAGGUAACAGGGAUAUUCAGUCAGCCCCUUUCCAUCUUGUACGCGUGUAUAAACGGUUCCUUGAUAUAUAUAUAUCAGCCGUUCAUUAUGAAACUGCGAUAAGUUCAUUCAUUUAAAACAAGGGUCUACUUGUUUGUGCAAUACGAAGAAUUUAAACGAACCAAUAAAUGAACGUACCCCGCUUUCAUAACGAAUAACUAAUACAAUGCCCUGAACUCUGCGCCCCAGCGGGUGUGUCUAUUUCUAGAUUCACAUCUAAAAAUUCAAAAGCAAAUUGCACAUGUGACCCCAGCUCGUCAAGUCAUUUUGCGUCAGAGAUUUUCUGUAUUCCCCUAAAAAACAAAAACUAUAGCGCGUCACAGAAUCACCUAAGCGCGCGUAUCUACGAGUUCUUGACGCUACGUAGGUUGCGUCCAAAGGCGUCCAGGGAAAAGACUCAUCCCCUUCCCUCUGUCAUCGCCAUACAGAAAGUUCCGAUCGUUAGGAUACAUCUAGGAAUCUUAAGGCCACGAUACCAAGUAAUCAGCGAUCUUCGCAAGUCAAUUCGCACAGGAUUCGGUUCGAAGAAGAAUCCGAGCUCUAGGAAACGGCGCGCGGCCCUUCGGUUGUCGAUUUUUCUCGACACGCAGAAAAAUAUCAGAACAGGAAACAACGACAAAAUCGUUUCUUCUGUUCGUUCGAGAUUAAGAAAUCCCCGUGGACGAUCCGCGUGGUUCGCGGAGGAAGCAUCAAAACGAACAACAGGAAAAACAUCCCCCAGGUACCUCCGCCUCGAUCCUAUGUGACCGUCAGUCGUGCGUGGAGGAAAAGGUAUCGGUUAAAAAAAUAGCUUUCUCAGGUUUCCCACCCACUGUCUUCUUCUUUCUUCCACGUACCACUCGUCGAAUGUGCAAAAAGUAUUCGCGCAGCGGUCUGAGUGUAUCAAAAAUGGCAUCCGUGCGAUCGCGGUGCGUCUGGUGCGGUAACUCUUUGCUAGAAAAUACCGGACGCGUUGAGCGGCAUCUUGCUACGGUGCGUUUCCGUGGUUGUUCUCGUCAACCACUGGUUCCUCUUGAAAAUUCCAAAAUGUGUGAACCCCUCAAAACGGGGGGGGAAUGUGAAUCCUCCCUGUGCAUGAAGAGUUUAAGCGGAAAGAAAAGUUUCUCUGUUCCUUUCGCUCGUGACGAUGGAGAACUACCUAUGCCAUGAUGAACUCGUUUCUGCGUGCGAGCUAAUGCGUCGGUGGAGACAGGUGAGAGAAUCGACUAGGUGUAAAGGGUUUAGGAAAGAGGUAUCCUACCCUCAAAUUGACUUUCCUCGGUUUUGAAUUCUCAGUCUGUCGCUACUUUGAGUAGUGUGGUAGCUCGAGUAUCAGAGCAGCCUAUGGUUUGUAUGCUGCGCUCGAGAUACGUCGCUCAGUCGAAGCCAACAUGGCGUGCAGAGAAAUAAAAAUGUACGUUCUAACGUUAGGUUUAAUUAGACAGUUUAAAGAUUAACUUCCCAUAUUGUUGCAGGUGGUAGUGGCAAAGUUCAAGAUUAGAAACACAUUGAGGUCUACCUAACUCGACAAUAAAAGAUACAAUUUUACAGCAGAAAUACAAAUUCGAACUCGAUGAACUUCUUUCGACGCUAUGUUUGGCUUCACUUGAGCGACGCUCUCCCUUGCAUUUCAAGUAUAACAACGUCUACAUCCCUUUGUAUGACCAUGGAGUUGCUUGGCUGUGGCAGCAAGACAAGAAUUCUCUUCAGGGCAAAUGCGCCCCCUCUCCCCGCGUCGAUUCCUCCACGUGCCCAGACCUCGGUCAAUAUAUAUAGAUACUUUCCGUCAUCGUGGUCCUGCUGCGGGAGGUGGAUAAAAAAACGAGCUGUUCUUCCUUCUCCUUGUGUAACGCACACGCGACUGUUUAGGGUGGAUACGCCAUAGUCGCGUGGCCAGAGGUGUUACUUUCCCUUCAGACAGGUGCGCUAGGUCGUCGUAAGAGCGACGAAAGCAACGAGCGUCGAGGUGGUCGUCGCCACGGGCGACGCAGCCGACGCUCGACGUCAGCGUAGGCCGUCUGCUCCUCGACGAUCCCCAAGGGUCAAGCGUUCUCCUCCUCCUCGUCGA
Molecule: long non-coding RNA, 3884 nt
Organism: Hylaeus volcanicus
Lineage: Eukaryota; Metazoa; Arthropoda; Insecta; Hymenoptera; Colletidae
Exons: 5
Source: RefSeq, a predicted model, not a curated record